AGUGAACGCUGGCGGUAGGCCUAACACAUGCAAGUCGAACGGCAGCACAGUAAGAGCUUGCUCUUACGGGUGGCGAGUGGCGGACGGGUGAGGAAUACAUCGGAAUCUACUUUUUCGUGGGGGAUAACGUAGGGAAACUUACGCUAAUACCGCAUACGACCUACGGGUGAAAGCAGGGGAUCUUCGGACCUUGCGCGAUUGAAUGAGCCGAUGUCGGAUUAGCUAGUUGGCGGGGUAAAGGCCCACCAAGGCGACGAUCCGUAGCUGGUCUGAGAGGAUGAUCAGACACACUGGAACUGGGACACGGUCCAGACUCCUACGGGGGGCCGCAGUGGGGAAUAUUGGACAAUGGGCGCAAGCCUGAUCCAGCCAUACCGCGUGGGUGAAGAAGGCCUUCGGGUUGUAAAGCCCUUUUGUUGGGAAAGAAAAGCAGCAGGUUAAUACCCCGCUGUUCUGACGGUACCCAAAGAAUAAGCACCGGCUAACUUCGUG
RNAcentral lists this ribosomal RNA (492 nucleotides) under uncultured bacterium. Its description in RNAcentral is "partial 16S ribosomal RNA". It matches the Rfam family "Bacterial small subunit ribosomal RNA", at positions 29 to 507 of the family's 1533-position model. The record is from RNAcentral.